This 253-nucleotide ribosomal RNA is filed under the name uncultured bacterium. RNAcentral describes it as "partial 16S ribosomal RNA". It matches the Rfam family "Bacterial small subunit ribosomal RNA", at positions 524 to 776 of the family's 1533-position model. The record is from RNAcentral.
UACGGAGGGUGCGAGCGUUGUUCGGAAUUACUGGGCGUAAAGCGUGCGCAGGCGGUUUGCUAAGACCGAUGUGAAAUCCCCGGGCUUAACCUGGGAACUGCAUUGGUGACUGGCAGGCUAGAGUAUGGCAGAGGGGGGUAGAAUUCCACGUGUAGCAGUGAAAUGCGUAGAGAUGUGGAGGAAUACCGAUGGCGAAGGCAGCCCCCUGGGCCAAUACUGACGCUCAUGCACGAAAGCGUGGGGAGCAAACAGG